Suncus etruscus (white-toothed pygmy shrew) is the source of this 149-nucleotide small nuclear RNA. RefSeq annotates it as U12 minor spliceosomal RNA. The record is from RefSeq and is a predicted model, not a curated record. NCBI's taxonomy places the organism in Eukaryota, Metazoa, Chordata, Mammalia, Eulipotyphla, Soricidae. The transcript has a single exon.
AUGCCUUAAAUUUAUGAUUAAGGGAAAUAAUCUUUUGGGGUGAUGCCUGAAUCCUCACUGCUAAUGUGAGAUGAAUUUUUGUGUGGUUAAAGUUUGCUCAUAGGGCGAUCUGCCUGCUUUGUGGGAUGCCAAAAGGAGCAAUUUACCUA